UACCUGAAGAAUAAGCACCGGCUAACUACGUGCCAGCAGCCGCGGUAAUACGUAGGGUGCGAGCGUUAAUCGGAAUUACUGGGCGUAAAGCGUGCGCAGGCGGUUCUGUAAGAUCGAUGUGAAAUCCCCGGGCUUAACCUGGGAACUGCAUUGAUGACUGCAGAGCUUGAGUGUGGCAGAGGGGGGUGGAAUUUUGCGUGUAGCAGUGAAAUGCGUAGAUAUGCAAAGGAACACCGAUGGCGAAGGCAGCCCCCUGGGCCUGCACUGACGCUCAUGCACGAAAGCGUGGGGAGCAAACAGGAUUAGAUACCCUGGUAGUCCACGCCCUAAACGAUGUCAACUAGUUGUUGGAGAGAUAUAUCUUCAGUAACGAAGCUAACGCGUGAAGUUGACCGCCUGGGGAGUACGGCCGCAAGGUUGAAACU
RNAcentral lists this ribosomal RNA (425 nucleotides) under uncultured beta proteobacterium. RNAcentral describes it as "bacterial SSU rRNA". It matches the Rfam family "Bacterial small subunit ribosomal RNA", at positions 476 to 901 of the family's 1533-position model. The record is from RNAcentral. Lineage: Bacteria; Pseudomonadati; Pseudomonadota; Betaproteobacteria.